Molecule: long non-coding RNA, 1094 nt
Filed under: Aedes aegypti (yellow fever mosquito)
Lineage: Eukaryota; Metazoa; Arthropoda; Insecta; Diptera; Culicidae
Description: lncRNA AAEL021546
Source: RNAcentral
UUAACACAAUAAAUUGCCAUUUGAGUCAUUUUUGCCAAACGGUGACAAUAUUUAAUAUUGUCUAGAUGUGGUUGAAAUGUAUCGGUGUGCUGACUCAUUAGAAGUAGUGGCACUAUAAGAUUAACGUCUGUGAAAUAGUUUGUGCUCAAAUUUGCACUUCACUAUAUAUAACUUAAAACCAACAGUUUGGCAAACUGUUACAUUCACCGGUUUUUGUUUUAGCAAUAUUAAAGACACACGCUUUAAAAAUUUAACUCACUCAAAUUGAAAAAUAGGAAAAAUAUGAUCAAAAGUUUCGUUUUUCGUUUUUCACGAAAUCGAAUUGGAUAUUGGAAAAGUGAUAAUGGAACGUACUUUGUCUUUUAAUUAUGAGUAUAAAAAUGUUUUACUAUCAUACGGUUAGAACACGGAUUAGACUAAAAUUAAUAUUUAUUUAUUAAUUUUUUUAUCGAAGUUUGAAACAGUGUCAAAGUCAUUAGUAUGUUUUUUAGCGUGCAUGCAAGUUUGUCGGUCAAACCCAUCAAAACAUUCAGAGCGAAAAAAGAAAAAAAAAUCACUGCAACAGAAAUCAAACGCAAAUCUAUGUACUGAUGCUAGUUUUAAAUGAAAUUCGGCCGCGGUGGAACAGCAGCGCUAUUAUGAUUUCGUAUGUGAAGAUGAUCAUCGGCUUGGUGGCAGCUGCAAAAACAGCCGAACUCACCGCUGCUGGUUACUCUUGGCAAUGAAUGAACCAGCUGCAAGGAGAACCCAUUGUCCGGAUCACCUAUACGUGGACAUCAAACCAAAAAGUCUGAUUCACCAGCAUCAAGCGUAGGCCAUCCUGAACAACAGCCUGGAUCCAAGAAGCAAGCGCUGAAAGAAAGCCAUCUCUGUGAGGUUUAUUCAGCUACGUAAUUGCUGCAUUCAUGGACUUUAAUCAGACUAUGAAAUGAAAGUGACUGGAUCACCGAUGAUUAAUCGCACCACCUCAACGGAGCACGAGCUUCAAAAGCAUUGUUCAAGGCAAAAUUGUGCCACGAUUCUAUUUUUUUAUUUUAAAUAUCGAAUAAGGCAACCUUAAGCUUUAAUAAACAUUCAAAAUAUUUUGUCUUCAA